CCCUCUUAUCUCUGUAUGUCCAAUGAUAUCUCGCACCUCCUCCUGCAUCAAAUGCCGGUGUAUCCAAUGAUCGAAAAAGGCGCCCAACUAGAUUCACAUUGAUGAAUUAGCACCUCAAAUUAAAGAGGUCCAAAGAGAAAAACCGAAAAGACGCCUCCGUCACUUAUGAAAAAAGAAAUCAAUGUUGAAUCCACAAUUUGCUAACUCCCCAUGACAGAAAUGGAACGCGCGUUUUGCGAAAUUCGACAGAAAUGGCAGCAAAAACUAGCACCGACUCAUGCUCACACGUGUUAUUCUUUCAAAAGUGCUGGGGGCACGAUCGAUUUCUUAAUCAGGGAUGGUUUAGAUUCUAUUGUCGUCGUAUUCUGCUUAACAACCCGAAACAACAAACUCCCUCCCCCAGUUUUUAUUCUCGCGUCAGUGGAUUGUUCUUUCUUUGGAUAAAUUAUAUCCAUUAUUAAUCUGA
Molecule: long non-coding RNA, 466 nt
Organism: Daphnia pulex (common water flea)
Lineage: Eukaryota; Metazoa; Arthropoda; Branchiopoda; Diplostraca; Daphniidae
Exons: 2
Source: RefSeq, a predicted model, not a curated record